Molecule: long non-coding RNA, 736 nt
Filed under: Ananas comosus (pineapple)
Lineage: Eukaryota; Viridiplantae; Streptophyta; Magnoliopsida; Poales; Bromeliaceae
Description: long non-coding RNA (ACOM_LNC022852)
Source: RNAcentral
AUCAGUAAUAAUGCUGUAUAAUAAUAAAAAAUUAGGUUAAUUUCAUAUAAGUCUCUGCAAACAUAGUGAAUAACAGAUAUAUUCCUGUAAAGUUUAAUUUUCAUAAGUUAAUCCUGCAAAAAUCCUAAUAUAUUCAGAUAUGUUCCUACCGCUAAUCUCUGUUAGACAAAUCUAAUUAACCACAGUUAAAAUACUUAAUCAUGGUCAGUUAAUAAGGUAAAAUGAUAUUUUUAUCCUUCUUCAUCUUCCUCUCCUGCUUCUUCUUCUUCUUCGUAUCUUCAUGUUCCUCCUCCUUUUCUUCUCCAUCUUCUUCUUCUUCGUCGUCGUCGUCGAUGAUCCAAUCGUCGUCGCCGUCGUGGUGCCUGCGUGGGCCAUCGUCACGGGCGCCUCCGACGGCAUCGGCCACGCCGUAGCCCCAACAAGCUCCGCAAUUCCGUUGGCCGCAACCCCGACAAGCUCCGCAAGGUCGCCGUCACUGCCGCCGCCGUCCACUCCCAAGCCGGAAGAGGAAGAGGAAGAGGAAGAGGGUAAAAUUAUCAUUUCACACAUCUGUUGUUAAAAAAUUAACAGUUUUCUAACUGAUCUCAACCAGAGGAACAUAUCUGAAUACAUUAGGAUUUUUAUAGAGAUAACUUAUGAAAAUUAAAUUUUGCAGAGAUAAAUUUACUAUUCAUUAUGUUUGCGGGGACUUAUAUGAAAUUUACCCUAAAAAAUUUGUAAUUUCUCUGCUACUCAU